UUACAUGACAUAAAGAGAGGUACGAUGUAGGGGAAGUGCAACUAAACUUAAAUGACAUAAAGAGAGGUACGAUGUAGGGGAAGUGCAACUAAACUUAAAUGACAUAAAGAGAGGUACGAUGUAGGGGAAGUGCAACUAAACUUAAAUGACAUAAAGAGAGGUACGAUGUAG
Long non-coding RNA from Protopterus annectens (West African lungfish), 171 nucleotides. RefSeq lists it as uncharacterized. The transcript has 2 exons. NCBI's taxonomy places the organism in Eukaryota, Metazoa, Chordata, Ceratodontiformes, Protopteridae. The record is from RefSeq and is a predicted model, not a curated record.